Molecule: long non-coding RNA, 2711 nt
Filed under: Marmota monax (woodchuck)
Lineage: Eukaryota; Metazoa; Chordata; Mammalia; Rodentia; Sciuridae
Rfam family: Small nucleolar RNA SNORA71 (bases 1318-1450)
Source: RNAcentral
GAACUGUCCUGUAUUUGGAAGGUUUUACCCUGGCCUUCUGCUUCUGGCAGCUUUCCCACACUCCUUCUCAGUUUUGCUCAUACCUUGGACUCCAGGCAUUGGCAGCUGCAGUGUGUGUGUUACUACUGCUAUUGGGGCUUUCAUUUCCUGCCCCUUCUUUUGGGAACAGUCUAUGGGUGUUGUUGAAGUUCCUUUCAGCAGCCAGUAGAGUCACUGCCAGGCAGCCCGGCACACUCCCACAAACCUGCUUUGGCAUUCAUUUCAGCCUGUUGCUGGUUACAUAGUAAGUAUUGAUUGCCUUGCCUUUGACCAUCUACUGCCUCCCUCUUUAGAGUUAACUCUUAUUUGUGAAGAAAUGGUGUGCUCGCCAACAUUUUUAGGAUGCUUAGUGUCUGGUAGCUACUGUGCCAAACCAUUUCUUGGUGCUUACCAUGCCCUACUGUGAGCAAUGACACCUGGGUGCCCAUCAGUGCUCCUUAUCUCUUGCAGAUGAGUCCACUGUGUACAGAGGCACCAUGGGAGUUGUCAUUGUCAGGAACAUUCUACACCCCAGGAAUCUUGAGGUAAGAUUUCUGGUCUCUUGUAUCGGAUACAGCCCUGUUCCCAGGGGCUCUGGGUGAUGAUGUAGGGGAGCUGAGAGGUGAGAUAAAGGUGGUACCAUGGGUCCCCAAAUCUACCACCCAACCAACCAAUUCUAGAUCACACCUGACCCUUCACAUACCUUCAGUGGCUGCUGCAGGGGAAAGCCUCCAAGGUCCCACUUGUGGAAUGAGAGGUCUCUGGGACAUCUGCCCUCUCUACCUGGGAACCAGCAAUAGCAUACUGUAAUGAUAAAUGGGUGGCAUGAGAAUCCCUUCUGCCGCUGUCUCAGGCACUGUACCACUGAGCUAUACCUCCAUCCCUUUUUAAUUUUGAGAUAGAGACUUACUAAGUUGCUAAGGCUGGCCUUGAACUUAGGAUCCUCCUUGCCCCAGCCUUCCAAAUUGCUAGGAUUACAGGCAUGCAUCUCUGCAUCAAACAGAACCUAAUUUUUUUUAUUUGAAAAAAUGAAGUGGUGACAGAGUUGACUUUUGUUGUACUUGAAACCCCAUGAUUCUUACCAUUACAACCCUAACAUUUUUCCACUGUUUAUGUCCAAAGUGACUUCUCUUUGAUUCUCCUGGGCAAGGAGUUUGUAUGGGGUUUCUCUAGAAAAGGAGGGUCAUGGUUGGUUCCUGUGCAUGGCUGGCUGGGCUGUUUUCAUGAAUUUUCCCUGUACUAUGCCAUAGGCUACUGGCAUCUGCUUCUCUUCCUGGACCUGUCUCUGCCUGUGUGUGUACCUGCAUUCAAAAGUGAUCACGGGCUGCCUGUGCUCUGAUCAUCCAUAUUGCAGGGAGAGGAAUUGCUGAAAGCCAUUUCCCGUGUUUGGAGGGUCCAGUCUGUCCCUCUCAAAUGCUGGUGCUUUCACACACUCUCACUUCUUUCCUGCCAACAUAUUCUGAUCUCAGGGAUGCUGGGGGCCGCUGAAUGAGAGUCAGUGAUGGCAGACAUUAUGGCUUAGCCUCCUGUAAUCAGAGUCCAAACUACAUCUGCAUCAAGGUUUAGAUACUUCAGGUGUUCAAAGGAACCAGGAUGAAUGAUGUAUAAUGAAUAAGUGUAAUACUAAAUGAUACGUGUUUGUGGCCACAGAAUUUUCAAAGAGAAGCAGUCUUUUGUAAGUGUAAGGCUAGGCAGACAGUGUGCUGGGCAGUAGGAACAUACCCCAGGGAGUAGGGAGCAGCAUGAGGAAGACUUAGAGGUUGAGGUGAGCGAAAGCUCCUGUCCCACCGAGGAGACAGAUGUACAGGCCAGUAGUGAUAGCAGGGAGGGAUAGACUUUUUGAUUGUUCUCUAGUAUUGAGGUUCCUUUUUCAUUUGGUGUGAAAAAAACCUGGCAGCUCAUAUCUAAUGGAUUGGGUACAUUCUCAUUGAUGUCAGCAUAAAGAAAAAUGGGGUAACCAUUUAGCCAUUGGAAACCAAACACUUGGGGUAGGGAUAAGGAUGUAGCUAGUGUAGAGCACUUGCCUAGUAUAUGUGAGAUCCUGGGUUCCAUCUCUAUCCACCACCAAAAGAAAACAAAAAAAGAAAAAGCACUUCAUUAACCUCCCCUUUCUGUGGCCCUCUCCUCACUCUAGGGAUGCUUCCUUGGAUCUGGAGAUUGUGGAAGGAAGGCCCAAGGGAUGGAGGCACUGACCCUCUCAGGAUGGUGACAUGGGGUGCCAGCUCUCUUUAUGUUGAUUUAUUGUCAAGAAGCCAAGUCAACCUGUGUUUCUGAGAUUGAGAUAGAAGUUCCAAGCCGCUGGGCUGGACUAACUUUCUCUUGGUCUGUGGUGUUGAUUGUGGACACUGGCACAGCAGAAAGUGAAGUGUGAUGUUGCCACGUGACACAUUGCCAGACCUUGCCACUGUUGCCUCAGCACAACGUGGAAACUUUUACUCUGUACGAUCAGGGCAAGGAAAGCCCUGGAUUCUGGGGACUUGGGGUUCAUAGGUGGAAACCCUUCAGCUGGCUCUGCCUCUCCUCAGCAGUGCCACGGAUCCCUGGACGGGAAGACUGGUCUCCAUCUCAUGUGUGGCCAGCUUCUGUGUCUUCUUUCCUAUUCCUGUUUUAACUGUUUAGAUCUAAAAAAAUGCUAAUGACGUUUUCUAUGCUGUGUCCUUGUCCUUUUACCUCAAUAAAUUUUGAAAUAUGCC